RNAcentral lists this long non-coding RNA (4805 nucleotides) under Cinara cedri. The record is from RNAcentral. Lineage: Eukaryota; Metazoa; Arthropoda; Insecta; Hemiptera; Aphididae.
CAAAAUAUAGAUACAGAUUACAAAUUUAAAAUCGCAUUUAAGACCAUUGUAACGACUCUCGUAGACUAUAGAAAUAAUUUUGAGAUUUUCUUAAAAUUUCGAGGGAGCGACAGCCCACUCAGCGCCCCCCCUCAUAAAUACGCCACUAUCUUAAAGUAAAACCCCGUCAACUCUGUACCCAUUCGUUUCCGUUCGUGAUAUCUACCUCGUUAUCAAUUUAGCGUUAUCAAUUUUCUUACUCUGUUAUCGUACCCAAAUUCUAUGGGACAAAAGUACAAAAUACAAAUAUAUCUAUGCUGUAGUAUUAAAUAUUUAUGUCUCUGUGGUCAUAGAUCGACGAGAUCUAUGAUGUCGGCACAUCUUCAGAAUACACGUCUACAUAUUUCAUAUUUAAGUAUUUUCCAUUUAUCUGAUUCCUACAGGUUACAGUAACCAUAUAGCGUUUUAUCGGUUAUCUACUAUCUUUUAACAGUUUCUUUUCCCCCGCACGAGCAAUUUUGUUUAUUUUUCCAAUGUAAAUUAACUCGUUUAGUUAAGUAGUACCUGGGUACAUAAUUUUAUUAUAAAAUGUAUUUUACCGAAAAACUCAUCACAGAGGUCCGAAAAUACCCGUGUAUUUGGGACCAGAACGCGGACGGGUACAAGGACAGUGACGUUAAAAAUGUAUGUUGGCUGAAAAUAGCCGAAGCAAUUUAUUCUGAUGACUGGGUUAAUCUCGAAUAUACUGAAAGAAAAGAAAAGGGUAUGCUCAUAAUAAAGUAAUAUUUAUAGUAGCUAUAUUAUGACAGAAGAAAAAUUAAUUUUUCAGAUAAAUAAAAAAAAAAAAACUUAUUUGAUUUAGGUACCUUUUAAUUUUUGUUUAGUGUUCUUCUUUGUUUACAUUUAUAUUUACUUUUAUCGGUAUUAUAAGUAGGUAUAUAAAUAACUCAUAAUAAUAAAAUUGCUAAAAUUUAUUUUUUAUUUAGUUAGCGAAUUAAAGAGUAAAAAGUGGAGACAUAUUCGUGAUGGAUAUUUAAAAUACAUUACCGAAAAAAACAAUGUACAUAAUGGAUCGAAAAUUACAAAUAAGAAACCUCGAAAGAAACCAUAUACUCAUGCUAAAUUGUUGUCAUUUUUAAAUGUCAUUUUAAAAAGAAAAAGGUAAGUAAAUAAAUGUGGUAAAUAAUUUUAAUGGAAAAACUUUAAAAUUUUCUUUUAAAUAUACAUUAUUUAUAAUACUAAUUUAUAAUUAAUAAAUAUACAUUAUUUAUAAUACUAAUUUAUAAUUAAUAAAAAAAAAAAAAAAAAAAAUCAUUUUUCUUUUAAGUAGGUAGGUAAUUAAUAUGAUGUGUAUUGUUCAGUUUAUUUUAACUAUUAAUAAAAUUAUUAUUUAAAAAAAAAAAUCUGUUCCAUAAUACACAUCUUAUUAUUAAUUAAAAAUGUAAUAUUUUUAAUUCGUAGAAGGACUAACUACGAAAAAGAAGAUAACAUUAAAGUUGUGGAUCAUUGUUCAAACAAUACAGACAAUGUUUGUGAGGCAGUACUAGAAGGUACUCAUCUUCCUACUUCUAAUCAAAGUACAAAUCAAAAUCCUUCUGAAGAUUCCAAUGAAAAAUUUCGAUUAAUACCAUUUCAAAAUAAUUUGAUUGAACAUUUCAAAAAAAAAGAAGAGUCAGAAACUUGGUCAGAAUUUAAUCCAGACCAAACUAUAGUGAUGUCCUUUCUUCCAUACUUAAAAAAACUUAAUGAUGAAGAAAAACUAGAUUUUCAAUUAAAUGGUCUCCAAUAUUUACAACAAAUUAUAAAAAGUCAAACACACAUCACACAACAACCAAGCCCUCAGAAUCAUUGAAUCAUUCAAAUGCUUGUUUUAGAUCAGACAGAUCAUUCUCCGUCUAACCAUUCUCACCGUUGUAUUCAUUGCCAUUGGUUUUUAAUAUAGAUAUAUAAAUAUAUUUAUUUGUCUAUGGUUUUUAAAAACAUGGUUUUUAAAGACUAGGUCUUAUCGUUCUAAUGAAAUUUCUCUACUAUGUGUCACAUUUGUCAGGUGUUGGUAUAAAGUAUAAAACAUUAGAAUUGAUUGACAUUCUUGCAAGAUGGUAUCGUUACUUUUCCUCAUUUUACAGCUCAUCCUCGUUAUUAUACUUUACAACUAGAUUUCCAUCGUUUUCAACCUUACUUUUUCAUACUUCUACUUCUUACUAUUCACGUUUCACGCACAUAAAACAAUUUAAUGGAGCUCUUCCUAGUUUUAAUGUUUAUGUUUUUAAGUAGAGUCGUCUUCUAAUACUACCAGUUUCUUUGAAUUCCUACUUGUUGCUUUUUAUGACUAGGAAAUUGUCUGUGGACUUAUUCUAACACGAGACUACACUGGUAACAUUUGUAUUAACAGUGUUAAAAUCUGAUGAGACUAUUAUUAUUAUUUUCAUCAUUUUUAAUUGCAUAAAUCAUUGUUAUAAUUUAUAAGUCAUGCAUAUCUAUCAUAUUUAAAUAUUUUUGUUAUAAUAAAAUAAAUGUAUUUAUUGUGUAUAUGUUAGUAAACAUGAAGAUAUUAAAUAUAGGUAAUAUUGUAUUCUGUAGAUAUUAUUUAUUUACAUUAAUGAUAGUUACUGUCCAAAUUCUAUGAUAAUAUCUUUUGACCUUUGUCAAAUAAUAUUCUUAUUAGUAUAUUUUUUGAUGAAAUAAUUUUACCAAGUCUUGAUAUUACUAUUUAUUUUAAUUUUAAUGUCCAAGCCUCUUCCAAGAUUUUUGGAAUUUCCUUUAUUAAUUUUGGUAUGAUUUUUAAUAUGUAAUAAUUUUUUAAAUAAUGAAAAAUAUUUGGUAGUAUUAUUAUCAAAAUAACUUUUCUGAAAUUUUUGAAAAAAUAUUAGAAUACUUUUUUUCAUUUUCUCAGCUAUUAUUUUUCACACAGCGAAAAAUAUUAUACAUAAAUUGAAAUUUUGGAAUAAUUUGUUUUUAUGUGAAAAAAAAAUUGAGUAGGUAUUAAUUGUUAUCUAGUUAGAUUGAAAUUCAAUAAUGCCUAAUUUAAAAUUGAACUCGCGAGCCUUUUAUUAAUCUCGGAUACCGAUGAAACCAUAGACAUAUUAACAAUAUUUAAUAAUAUGUUGAGAUCUACUGUAUCAUUUAUUCGUCGCAAUCAAAACUAGUUUUUUGUUCAUAGAUAAUUUAAGAAUGGUUAGGCCACUCUUGCAUUAAAAUAAUAUGGUCCCAUGUUUCAUAAUGUGGAUGGAAGACAAACUGCUAAAUUAGUGUUCUCACUCCAUUGAAUUCUUCACUAUAACUGGAAUGCUUACCCGCCAUAAGUAAGACCAAUGUAAACAACCAAGAUACAGUGUUUGAAAAAGAUAGCAGAUAAGAAUGAUGCUGCUAUCUUUUUUUAUAACACAAUACAUAUUACUUAUACAAAUUUUGUUUAUUUAACAUUGUUUUCUAAGUUUUUAAAGUUUUAAAAAAAUUAAAACAGUGAGCAGUUAAAAUGGUGAAAUUCUGUAGUGGUUUUAAUUGUACCAGCUCAAAUGACAUUUGGAAAGACUUGUCAUUUCACAAGUUAGUAUAAAGUAUUAUAUAGUGUUAUUAAUUUUACUCAUAAAAGUAUUUAUAUUUAAUUGUAUACUAAUUAUAUUUUUUAUUUUUUAUAAUACUAUGGCUUAAGAACUCCGGCUAUUAGAAAUUAUGCAUGUUAAAUACUUUUACAUUUAAUUUAGCUUGAUUUUUUUAUAAUUAAUAAUUAUUUUCAUUUCAAUACUAAGUACUGCUUAUUUAUGUUCUUAGAUUUUUUUAAAUUUAUAUAUCAUAAUAUAACAUUAUUAAUUUGUGAUGUAUGCUUUUAUUUUGAUGGGCGCUAAGAGGUUGUAUGAAUGCUUUUAAAUUUAAUAAAUCUACUAUCAUAUUUCCCAAAGAUUUGUAUGUAUAAUAUGGUUUAAUUUUUUGCUAGUUUAUUAUAAAUCAAUUAUUUUUAUUAAAAGAACGUUAUACCCACAUCUACUGUUUCAGUCCAACUACCGGGUAACAAACAAAACCAAUACUUACGCAGAAUAAGUAAAACUAGCUUGAUUUUGAUUUUAGGGUAAAAGUACCUAUUAUGAAAUUUAUAAAGGAACAAUAUUUUGGAAGGAAUAUCAUAAAUGGUUUUUGAAUUAUGAACUAUUAAAAAAGUUACAAUUAUUUAAAAAAAUAAAAUAAAAUAAAGGUUUUUGUAUCUUUUAUAUCAAGUUGUAUAUUUUGAAUAAUACAAAAACGUGUAUGACAUUCCCUUCAAAAUAUUGUUUUCUAUACAUUUUAUAAUAGAUAAUUUUACUCUAAAAUCAAAAUUAAACCCGGUUUACUUAUUUUUUGUAAGUAUUGGUUUUGCAUGUUACCCAGUAGUUUAACUGAGACAGUAGAUGCAGGUAUAGUGUCUUCUUAAUUUAUAGUUUUAUUGUCAUUACAGGAAAAACAUUAGCUGAAGUCAACUUAAGUUACUUAUUUAACUCGACAGAUCUUAUAGCUCCAAGGUUAUAACUAUAGUUGAAGUAUCUACAAUCUCAUAGUAUUUAUUUUAGGAAAUUUUUGCUGUGAAGCAUAACUAAAUUGUAUUGACGAUUUUGUUUACUGGACCAUUCUAAUAUUAAUCUUUCCUAGAUUAUAAAUUUACAACAUUAAGUUAAAUGAGAAAAGUAGUAAGUACACUACUUUCGAUUAUAAAUACCAUUGAUUAAAUAUAUUAAUAGGUUUUCAUAUUUGUCCAUGUCGUGGGCUAUUUAUGUAUAUUUAAUCAAAGUAAAUAUUAUGUUUUUAUUUUAAUAAUUAUUUUACUAAAAAUAAUGUUGUUGUUAUGUUAUAUGCUU